UAGGGAAUCUUCGGCAAUGGGGGCAACCCUGACCGAGCAACGCCGCGUGAGUGAAGAAGGUUUUCGGAUCGUAAAGCUCUGUUGUAAGAGAAGAACGUGUGUGAGAGUGGAAAGUUCACACAGUGACGGUAACUUACCAGAAAGGGACGGCUAACUACGUGCCAGUAGCCGCGGUAAUACGUAGGUCCCGAGCGUUGUCCGGAUUUAUUGGGCGUAAAGCGAGCGCAGGCGGUUUAAUAAGUCUGAAGUUAAAGGCAGUGGCUUAACCAUUGUUCGCUUUGGAAACUGUUAAACUUGAGUGCAGAAGGGGAGAGUGGAAUUCCAUGUGUAGCGGUGAAAUGCGUAGAUAUAUGGAGGAACACCGGUGGCGAAAGCGGCUCUCUGGUCUGUAACUGACGCUGAGGCUCGAAAGCGUGGGGAGCAAACAGG
RNAcentral lists this ribosomal RNA (429 nucleotides) under bacterium. RNAcentral's name for it is "partial 16S ribosomal RNA". It matches the Rfam family "Bacterial small subunit ribosomal RNA", at positions 355 to 776 of the family's 1533-position model. The record is from RNAcentral.